This 564-nucleotide ribosomal RNA is filed under the name uncultured Micromonas. Its description in RNAcentral is "bacterial SSU rRNA". It matches the Rfam family "Bacterial small subunit ribosomal RNA", at positions 75 to 673 of the family's 1533-position model. The record is from RNAcentral. Lineage: Eukaryota; Viridiplantae; Chlorophyta; Mamiellophyceae; Mamiellales.
AGUCUUCGGACUGCGGAAGAGUGGCGAACGGGUGAGGAACACGUAAGAAUCUGCCCCUCGGUCGGGGACAACUCUUGGAAACGAGAGCUAAUACCCGAUACGCUGUGGAGUGAAAGAAUUUCGCCGAGGGAUGAUCUUGCGUCUGAUUAGCUAGUUGGUGUGGUAACUGCACACCAAGGCGACGAUCAGUAGCUGGUCUGAGAGGAUGGACAGCCACAUUGGAACUGAGACACGGUCCAAACUCCUACGGGAGGCAGCAGUGGGGAAUUUUCCGCAAUGGACGAAAGUCUGACGGAGCGACGCUGCGUGAAGGAUGACGGCCCGCGGGUUGUAAACUUCUUUUCUCGAAGAAGAAACAAAUGACGGUAUUCGAGGAAUAAGCAUCGGCUAACUCCGUGCCAGCAGCCGCGGUAAGACGGAGGAUGCAAGUGUUAUUCGGAAUGAUUGGGCGUAAAGAGUCUGUAGGCUGUAUAGAAAGUCUUUUGUUAAAUUCCUCAGCUCAACCGAGAUCAAGCAAAGGAAACUUUUAUACUUGAGGGAAGUAGAGGUACAGGGAAUUCCCGG